GACGUCAAUUAGGUUGUAAUUUUCCUAGAUAAAUUAGUUUCGCACGUAAAUUUAAAGUGUACACACGCCAUUCGUUCUUUAAAUUCAAAUAGUCGGUCAAGAACAAAACAAGGAUUAAAAAGUGAGAAUCGGACUGAACAUUUUUUCUAAGGAGAACGUGGCACGUCAAUUAUGUUACACGGGCAAAUCAUAUCGCGCAAUAGUAAAUCAUUAAAACGGAACAAGGAGUAAGUUGAUAUAGGUCUUUUCUGUGUAACAAACAGACACCGCGACCACGGUGGUUCUGUCGGGUCACGACUGCCAAGGCCGGAAUGAUAUGUGUAGUAUACAGCUCAAUGACUUAACGCUGUACUUACAGUUAGCAACCUUUCAGCUUGAUUUAAAAACUUUAUACGUUCGCAUUCGUCGGUAGCAGUCAACUUCGUGUUGGAUGGCAAGGUUGGAGAUCCUACGUUGUGUAUACUAGCAGUUCUUUUAGUGUUGGGACAUGAAACAUAAUCGGGAACGGAAUUAAAUAAAAUGCAAAAUUUUGUGCGUAAGAAAAGAUAAGAACGUAUAAAUUAUAUAACGCACACAAUAAGCUAGGAAGAAACCUUCUUUGUUGAACUAAAAAAUCCUGACAGAACAUACACAAAAGACAAAACUACAAGAAAAAUGACAACUAGGACAAUAAAAUGCAAGAGAAAUACACAAACCAAACAUUGCAAAUUGGGCGGUAAAAAUCACGUAUCGAAUCAAA
This is a long non-coding RNA of Photinus pyralis (common eastern firefly), 739 nucleotides long. RefSeq lists it as uncharacterized. Lineage: Eukaryota; Metazoa; Arthropoda; Insecta; Coleoptera; Lampyridae. The transcript has 2 exons. The record is from RefSeq and is a predicted model, not a curated record.